The submitters of this non-coding RNA (195 nucleotides) gave its source as unclassified sequences. The record is from Rfam.
UGUGCCUGAUCAGCACAUUGGGUGUGACUGAAUAAACUUACUGGCAUAUAGCUGGUUAAGGUGAUGCGACAGAGGUGGUGCUCGCUGUCAGGAAUGGCAGAACUACAAACCAAGUAGGUCGUAGGCAGAGUGGUAAUUCUAAACUGUAGAAAUGCCCUGCUCUUGUUGGUAUACAGGAUUCCAACCACCCUCCCU